Molecule: long non-coding RNA, 371 nt
Filed under: Gossypium barbadense (sea-island cotton)
Lineage: Eukaryota; Viridiplantae; Streptophyta; Magnoliopsida; Malvales; Malvaceae
Description: long non-coding RNA (GBAR_LNC014880)
Source: RNAcentral
AUUGAUACGAGUCACAAAAGCCCAAAUUCUUGAAGGCGAGGCCCAAUAAGCAAAUUCCCAGCCCAAUCAAGAAAUCCAUCCAUACUUAGUUGAAAAUCAGGCCAAAUUGUCAAAGUGGCCCAAGUUGUAAAGUUUUAUUUUUAUUUUUAUUUAUUUAUUUAUUUAUUUACUUAGUUUAAAUUUUUAUGUCAAUAUUCAGUCCAAGAGUCCCAGAUAAAAUGACCUUUGACCGAAUUUCCAUAUUAAAAUAAUUAGGAGUUUUUUUAUUUUAGUUUUCUAAUUAGAUUAGGACUAGUUAUAAUGCCUAUUUAAAGGCAUGGCUGUCCACCUUGUUAAACACUUAUCAUUAUUAUUAAAAUUUCAGAUUUGUU